RNA transcript from Sceloporus undulatus (fence lizard), 4230 nucleotides. It is a transcript of the gene named zinc finger protein 24-like, with no coding region annotated. The record is from RefSeq and is a predicted model, not a curated record. The transcript has 8 exons. NCBI's taxonomy places the organism in Eukaryota, Metazoa, Chordata, Lepidosauria, Squamata, Phrynosomatidae.
GUCUGAGAAAUGACAUGGAUGUGGCCACUAGGCGGAGCUGUUGUGCAAGUUAUGUACAGCCCUAGUGGCAGUUAUAUAUGUCAGCAUUCAAACAGUGAAUCAUUGGAAUGUUGAUGCAACUGUCAACUGUCCUCCUCAACUGUCACUGAGGGAGAGUGAGACAGUCGGUCCUUCUGAGAGAGAGGGGCCGGGUAUGACAGUUGGUGUGCAGAAGCUCAGGGAGGCUGACCAGAUUACUCCCAUAUUAUUCUGAAAGAAGGGUUUUUUGGCCAUUUUGAGGCAGAAGAUCCGCAUUUGCAAGGGCAACCAAGGAUGAAAAUGGAGGAGCAGGUCUCUGUGGGUCAUCCACAAGUGGGAGUCCCAGAUGGAAGAAAGGAAGGCCCUCCUGUCCUCUGGGCCACUGGAGAAGGCAAGGCCAAGAUGGAGGAUAACCACAGGCCCCCUCACGCAAUGCAUGCUGAGAGUGGUGAGGUGUCCUAUGUCAGAGUGACCACAACUCAGGUGAAGGAGGAACCAGAAGAUGGUCAGGACUCCCGCUGGGAAACCCAUUGGCAGGAGUUCCUCAAAAUUGUGGGAUCCCCUCCGUCAGAGCAGGAGAUCCCCGAGGAAGCCACCCCAUGGGGGGACACAAAGGCCUUCCUGGACUCCUUUGAGCAAGUGGCCAAAGCCUGUAGGUGGCCCAGAGAGGAGUGGAUGGCUCGGCUGUUGCCUGCCCUCAGCGGUGAAGCGGAGAUGACCUUCCAGAUGAUGGAAGCUGGAGAGAAAGAGGAUUAUGGGAAGGUGAAGGUGGCCCUCUUGCGAAGAGAUGCCCUCAACAGGGAGAAGAGCCGCCAGCACUUUCGACACUUCUGCUACAUGGAGGCCAAGGGUCCAAGAGCCACAUACGACCAGCUCCAGCGACUCUGCCGGCGGUGGCUGGAGGUCGAGAAGCACACCAAGGAGCAGAUCCUGGAGCUGCUCAUCUUGGAGCAGUUCCUCACAGUCCUGCCAUUGGAGACGCAGAGCUGGGUGAGAGAAUGUGGCCCGGAGACCUGCUCCCAGGCGGUGGCCCUGGCCGAGGCGUUUCUGCUGAAGCAGCAAGAGGUUGAGAGGCACAAUAACCCGGUGGUCUCGGAUGCAGGGGCCGUAGAUUUUUCUGAAGCAGAAUGUGCUCCUGCUGGAACCGAACAGAUACACCUGUAUGUCGAAACGAAGCAGGAGGAGGAGGAGGAUGACAGUCCUUUGGGUAAUGGGUGGAUGCCCAUGUUUGAGAGGGAAAGAGAUGUGGCAGAAGACUCAGAACCAGCGAGGCCAUGCAGAGUGUCCCGAUGGAAAGCCGAAGAGGUUGUUUCUCAGUGUUGUGUUCAAGAAAGUGCCUCAACCAGUCAGGAGAGACUGGACCAUCGACAGCAAACCUAUGCAGGGAGUGAAGCAGAUGGAUCCGGACCUUACGGGGGAGAGUACAAGGGCCGGAUUGUAACCGCAGUGCAGACGGAAAUUGACCCUAAUAAAAAACGGAAUGCCUGCAGAGCUUACGGAAAAGGUUUUGGUCGCCGGACAGGCUCAAAGGCACACAAAUGCUCAGUCUGUGGGAAAUUCUUUCUUUCAGGCUCAAAGCUGAUUAUUCACCAAAGGACCCACACAGGGGAGAAGCCGUAUGAAUGUCCUUCCUGCGGGAAAACCUUCCGCUCCAGUUCAGUUCUUUAUCGUCACCAGAGAAUUCACACUGGAGAGAAACCGCACAAAUGCCCUGUCUGUGGGAGACGAUUCGGCAGCAAUUCAAACCUUCAUCGACAUCAGAGGAUCCAUACUGGGGAGAGGCCGUAUGAAUGCUUGGAUUGUGGGAAAAGCUUCAUCCAGAGAGCCAACCUCAAAAAGCAUCACAAAAUACACAAAGUGGAAGGGAAGCGCGAGGAAAGUCUCACCACAAGCUGAGACUUUCCUUGCUUUGUGAGGCAGUACUUGGGAACACAAAAAGUGAAUUUUGCAAAAGCUCAUUUCAGAGGAUUGUUUUGAGAAAAGGACACACACAGUACUUCCAGCAAUUUAUUUGGUCAGUUGACCCCUUAUGACUAUUUUGGACCGUUUUGGGUGCUUUGCUGGAAUUAUAGGAUGGCAAGAUGAUGCUGUCAAAUGAGAGCUCUCCAGUCUUCAUUUGUUGUUGAUGGACAGUUGCGUUUUGGGACAUACUGCCCAGCGCCACUUUGAACAGCAAGAUUUCUAAAGACAAUUUCUUUAUCACUGUAUUUUGUGUGAAGGCAUUCUUACCUUGCUGCUGUCACUCUCAAAUAGGCAAGGACUUUAGGUGUGAGCCAAGUCUGUCUGCUUCUGGGUGUAAUAUAUAUUUUACAGAGGUGUUUUCUCUUGAUAUUUGGGACUUUUUCCUCUAGUGCUACUGGCAGUGUUAGUUGAUGGCUCCCAUGCCAGUAGGGCAGUGAGUCCAUUCCAGGUUUUGGCUGGCUUUAAAGGAGAUUGGCCUGUUUAUCACCAUGGAUCACUUCUUAAAACUUGCAGUAAAUCUUGGAGUGCCUCAUUGGUACGGGAGACAUCAGCCACUGCAAGUGAAAGGCUGUACAGCAUUAAAGGAGGGGUGCACGUUUCGCUCAAUAAGUUACUCCAACUACAUCUUUUGUGGAAAUAAUAUUCCUCUGUACUUAAUUUUUAUGCCACUCUGACUCCCAAAAUUGCCAGUUUGUUUACAGUUUUAAGUGUUCCUCAUGUUUAGAGAGAGAUGCACAGAUAAAACGGAGAAUGAAGCAAGGAAAAGCAAUGGUAGCUUCUUUGUUGCCUGAAAAUUCCUGCAUUUCUCAUUCCAUCUAUGGCCUCCUUCUUGCUUAUGGUGAACCCUCAUCUCGAAUCAGGCCUUGUGUGUGAUAUCCACAGAAGCCAGGCUUACACACCUGGAAACACAAUUCCUUUUGUGGAAGAAGGCUAGAAAUACGCCAUGUUAAAUCCACAUAAUAGUUGAGAAUUUUCUCUGACAAAAGAUAUCAAAAUAUAAUUGCAAACCAGUUUUGAGAUGACAAUUGUACCUUGUUGGCUUUUUUGUUGCACUUUUACCUCUGUUUUUUGCUCACAGUUUCAGUCUCCUGUCAUCAUGGCUCUAAGCCGCAUGCCUUUUUGGGAGCAUGCCCCGUACAGAUGAGACCCACAGACCCAAGAAGAAGUGCCUUACAAGAAUUAUUUCUGUGUACACUGAGUUUUUAAAAACUGUUUCUGGCUAUCAGCUGAAAGCAUAAGCAACAGCUCAAGGAAAAAUGUUUACAUUGGCGUGAACUUAAAGCGGACUUAGGGAGACCAAAAGUGGCAUCUCUGAAACCAGAGACCCUCGAAUCCUAGAACUGGAAGAGGCCCCAAGGGCAAUCUACCCAUGCCAUGCAGAAGACACCAUCAAAGCACUCCUGAAAGAUGCCCAUCUGAGAGGAAGAAAGAGAAACCUAAGAGGAAGUAGUAGAAGGACUCCCAAAUUGUGACCACCUCUCAGGCCUGGAAGACAUGAACAAUCCAGUGGUCCGUGGCUUGGAGGAAACAGAAGAAUUCCUUUCUCCUUCAAACCCUUUCAAAAUGGCAAUCAGAAGGAGCCCUGGUGGCGCAAUGGUUAAAUGCUGGUCCUGGAGCCACAACGUUGUAAGUUUGCUCCUAGAGGACUGCUCCAAGGUCCAUUCAGCCUUCCAUCAUUUUGUAGGUUGGUAAAAUGAGUACCCAGCUUGUUGGGGGCAAUUGGCUUAGAGUGUAAACUGCUUAGGUUGUGCUAGUUCAUUGAUAGGCGGUAUAGAAAUUUACUUGCUGUUGCUAUAUUACAUCACGUCUGGUCACCAUUUUGAGAGAUGCUGCAAUCGAAAAUGGAGGUACAAAGGCAAUAGUGACAGAAAAUAUCCUCUGGGUAACAAUUGCCCAUCUAGCCUUGGCCAACUGAAGCAAAUGUUGCCCAGAGAACCUGAGUGUACUCGGCAGAUUAUAUGGAAAGAGGUGAUCCUCCCUUCAUUGUAACCUGGACCCAAACCAUGUAAGGUUUUAAAGGUAAUAACCAACACUUGGUGCCUUGCCUGGAAACUAACUGGAUGCCAGUGAAGUGAUUUUAAUACAAGAAGCACAGAAUCUUGGAAGAGACCCCAAGGGCCAUCUAAUCCAAACCUCCCAAUGCCAUGCAGAAAGAGACAAAGCACUUACAAGAGAUGGCCAGCCUCUGUUUAAAGACCUCCAAAGGAAGAGACUCCACUAUUCUUUGAAGGAGUGUGUUCCACUCUUGAA